Molecule: ribosomal RNA, 501 nt
Filed under: uncultured bacterium
Lineage: Bacteria
Description: partial 16S ribosomal RNA
Rfam family: Bacterial small subunit ribosomal RNA
Source: RNAcentral
AUUGAACGCUGGCGGCAUGCCUUACACAUGCAAGUCGAACGGCAGCACGGGAGCAAUCCUGGUGGCGAGUGGCGAACGGGUGAGUAAUAUAUCGGAACGUGCCCAGUAGUGGGGGAUAACUGCUCGAAAGAGCAGCUAAUACCGCAUACGACCUGAGGGUGAAAGGGGGGGAUCGCAAGACCUCUCGCUAUUGGAGCGGCCGAUAUCAGAUUAGCUAGUUGGUGGGGUAAAGGCCUACCAAGGCAACGAUCUGUAGUUGGUCUGAGAGGACGACCAGCCACACUGGGACUGAGACACGGCCCAGACUCCUACGGGAGGCAGCAGUGGGGAAUUUUGGACAAUGGGCGCAAGCCUGAUCCAGCAAUGCCGCGUGCAGGAAGAAGGCCUUCGGGUUGUAAACUGCUUUUGUCAGGGAAGAAAUCCUCUAGGUUAAUACCCUUGGGGGGAUGACGGUACCUGAAGAAUAAGCACCGGCUAACUACGUGCCAGCCGCCGCCGUAA